GAUAUACAUGGAAGCAGACUGUUGU
Molecule: non-coding RNA, 25 nt
Filed under: Cricetulus griseus (Chinese hamster)
Lineage: Eukaryota; Metazoa; Chordata; Mammalia; Rodentia; Cricetidae
Source: RNAcentral